RNAcentral lists this ribosomal RNA (874 nucleotides) under Curvularia hominis. RNAcentral's name for it is "eukaryotic LSU rRNA". It matches the Rfam family "Eukaryotic large subunit ribosomal RNA", at positions 68 to 960 of the family's 3401-position model. Lineage: Eukaryota; Fungi; Ascomycota; Dothideomycetes; Pleosporales; Pleosporaceae. The record is from RNAcentral.
ACAGGGAUUGCCCUAGUAACGGCGAGUGAAGCGGCAACAGCUCAAAUUUGAAAUCUGGCUCUUUCAGAGUCCGAGUUGUAAUUUGCAGAGGGCGCUUUGGCUUUGGCAGCGGUCCAAGUUCCUUGGAACAGGACGUCACAGAGGGUGAGAAUCCCGUACGUGGUCGCUAGCUAUUGCCGUGUAAAGCCCCUUCGACGAGUCGAGUUGUUUGGGAAUGCAGCUCUAAAUGGGAGGUAAAUUUCUUCUAAAGCUAAAUAUUGGCCAGAGACCGAUAGCGCACAAGUAGAGUGAUCGAAAGAUGAAAAGCACUUUGGAAAGAGAGUCAAACAGCACGUGAAAUUGUUGAAAGGGAAGCGCUUGCAGCCAGACUUGCUUGCAGUUGCUCAUCCGGGCUUUUGCCCGGUGCACUCUUCUGCAGGCAGGCCAGCAUCAGUUUGGGCGGUGGGAUAAAGGUCUCUGACACGUUCCUUCCUUCGGGUUGGCCAUAUAGGGGAGACGUCAUACCACCAGCCUGGACUGAGGUCCGCGCAUCUGCUAGGAUGCUGGCGUAAUGGCUGUAAGCGGCCCGUCUUGAAACACGGACCAAGGAGUCUAACAUCUAUGCGAGUGUUUGGGUGUCAAGCCCGAGCGCGUAAUGAAAGUGAACGGAGGUGGGAACCCGCAAGGGCGCACCAUCGACCGAUCCUGAAGUUUACGGAAGGAUUUGAGUAAGAGCAUGGCUGUUGGGACCCGAAAGAUGGUGAACUAUGCUUGAAUAGGGUGAAGCCAGAGGAAACUCUGGUGGAGGCUCGCAGCGGUUCUGACGUGCAAAUCGAUCGUCAAAUUUGGGCAUAGGGGCGAAAGACUAAUCGAACUAUCUAGUAGCUGGUUCUGC